Molecule: ribosomal RNA, 236 nt
Filed under: Vibrio sp. a7a3
Lineage: Bacteria; Pseudomonadati; Pseudomonadota; Gammaproteobacteria; Vibrionales; Vibrionaceae
Description: partial 16S ribosomal RNA
Rfam family: Bacterial small subunit ribosomal RNA
Source: RNAcentral
CGGAGCUAACGCGUUAAGUAGACCGCCUGGGGAGUACGGUCGCAAGAUUAAAACUCAAAUGAAUUGACGGGGGCCCGCACAAGCGGUGGAGCAUGUGGUUUAAUUCGAUGCAACGCGAAGAACCUUACCUACUCUUGACAUCCAGAGAACUUUCCAGAGAUGGAUUGGUGCCUUCGGGAACUCUGAGACAGGUGCUGCAUGGCUGUCGUCAGCUCGUGUCGUGAGAUGUUGGGUUA